GUACAUUUUGUAUUUUCCUUCCUAAGCUUGCUACAUUUGGUCAAACUGCUCUUCAUUAGAGUAAACCAGAAUACAAAGUCUAUGCUGGGCUUUUUUGAGACACUUUUCUCUCAAAGCAAUUAGUUUAAAUUCCUUCACCUUUGCCUCAGGCAGACUUUUCAUACAAGGGUGAAAAGCAACCCCUCUCUCCACCAAAAUAAUAAGAACAAUCUCUAGGCAGCAUAAUAUUAUUCUCAGAAACCACUUGAGACCCCCAGAGUUCUAAUCACCAUCAGCACCAAUGUAUUCUAUAUUCCUUCUAGGAUAGCCCAUUAAGUCCCAUUUGAAGCAUUCCAUGGCUUUCCAAAUUCAAAGCCCCCAAAUCCACAUUCUUCUAAACACAAUAUAGUCUGGCCUGUCACAGCAAUACCCCUCAGUCUCUGGUAUCAACCCAUGUCUUAGGAUUUCCCUUGCAGUGAAGAGAAACCAUAACCAAAGCAACUCUUACAAAAGACAGCAUUUAAUUGGGGCUGGCUUACAGAAUCAGAGAUUCAGCAUAGCAGUGUCCAUGUAAGCAUGCUGCUAGAGGAGCUGAGAGUUCUGUCUUGUUUGGAAGACAAACAGGAGAAGACUCAGCAUCCUCAGGUAGCCAGAAGGAGGGUCUCAAAACACACCCCCACAGUGACACACAUUCUCCAACAAGGCCACACCUACUUCAACAAAUUCGUACCUCCUAAUAGUUUCAUUUAUUGUGCCAAGCAUAUUCAAACCACCACACCUCCCCCGGGAGCUACAAUACCUCUGGAUGAGCAGACUUCCUCUCAGAGCUGUGUGGUUGCUGGUCUCUAGUGUCUCUGGAUACUCUUCCAUUGGGACACUCUCCUGCUUCAAAGCUGUGUACAUCCUAGGCUUCCAAGUCACAGGACACCUUCCCAUCCCAGCAGAAAGGUCAAGGUUUUGGUGUAGUGCUUCGUGUAGACUUUCUCUGUGGCUUGUGCUUCCCCAACUCUGGAGAGAUCGAACUGCUCUAGGACUCUUCCAUCUCCGGCUGGCCUGCAGCAGACUCAUCUUCCAGCUCACCUAUAGCUCAUCAUCCUAUCCACUAGCAACAAUUAGGAUUGCUAGCUCUUAGCUCUGUAGCCAGAGCCUGCAACUACUGGUAUACCCUGAAAGUGAGGACUGAACUUGCUCCAUAGACUUCAAACUCACAGAGCAGUGGGAGAGAUGAACGAGGAUGGGACCUCUACACACACAUUCAACAAGAAAUAGUCUAAUGAUGUCGCUCCUUUCCCCCAACCCUGACUGUACAUCAAUGUAAACAAAAAGGGGGUUUCAUUUGCAGAAUUUGUAUACUUUGUAAACUCUGUAUAUUUGGUAAACUCUCUAAACCUUCAAGGUAGGAAAGUGGUCAGGCUCUUGUCUGAGGUGCUCCAGCAGCCAGGCCCAUCCCCAGACCUCUCUGUCAUGAUUGUCACAAAGGUCAUCUCCAGCCAUUCAGCAGGACCCUCCCCAUAUUACUCUAAUUUUAGGUGAAAAGUCUGAUCAAAAGCCACAAAUCCCUGAAUAGCAAAACCUACCAAUCCCUGAAUUUCCCAUACUAACCCACCAACCCCUGAGCACAAAACAACAACAACAACAACAACAAAAAAACCCCACAAAACUAAAAACAAAAACAAAACAAUCCCUGAAGAGGAAAACCCUAAGCACCAAAUCCUACAAAUUCUUACCCUGAAAACCUCCACCUUAGAAAGUCCCACCCCCCAAGAACCUCUAUAUAAACACUGUGCCUUGUCCAAUCCCACACUGUCUGCUCCCUCCUGGGAACUUAGGCAGCCACCCCUGGACUCACCCAUGCACACCCUGGAACCACCAAUAAAUCUUUUAUGAGGUUUGCUGCCUGGCAUGACUCAACUGAAGAUGAUGAGAAGCAAUUGAAGUGAAGCAGGGAAGAAGCAAAGAAGAGGAGCAGGGCUGAGGCUCCUGAGCUGAUGAGCUCAGCUGGGGAUACACUCCCCUGGGAGCUAUAACCCUUCUACUGAGGAGGCUCCCACUCAGAGUUGUGUGGUUCUUGGGCUCCUAUAUCUCAGGUACCCUUCUUUUGGGAAACUGUCCCACCUAAGAGCUGUGUGCUUCCUGGUCUAUCGAGUUCCAGAACACCUACCUUCCCAUUUGAAAAGAAAGGUCAAAACUGGCUCAUACUGUCCUUAAGAUUCACAAUAAGAUGAAGAAGUGAUGCUGGGGAAUUAAAUCAGGAUGAUGGGGAGGAGAGAUUAUGAUUGCCCUGGACUGAGCAAGCACUUGGAGGAGAUCCAGAAUAUAAGAGGUUUUUUUUUUUUUUGGGGGGGGGGGUCAAGAUCAAAGAGAGAUCACUUAUGCAGUGAUGAAAUAUUCCCUCAGAGCCUUAACAGAGCUCAAUUCAGCCAUGACACUGUUGGUAAUGCAAUCCCCUGUUCACAGGUCUGCCUGCAGACACCUGAGCAGACACAGGUGAGACCUGAGACCUCAAAAGCAAACAUUCACAGAAAGUAUAUGAUGGGCCAAACCUGGAAACUGGAGGAGAGACAGGAGCAUGUUGUUCUCUGAGAGGCUCCACCCAGCAGCUGACUCAAACAGAUACAGAUAC
RNAcentral lists this long non-coding RNA (2602 nucleotides) under Mus musculus (house mouse). RNAcentral's name for it is "predicted gene, 41142". Lineage: Eukaryota; Metazoa; Chordata; Mammalia; Rodentia; Muridae. The record is from RNAcentral.